CCUACGGGUGGCAGCAGUGAGGAAUAUUGGUCAAUGGCCGGAAGGCUGAACCAGCCAUGCCGCGUGAAGGUCAGUGCCCUAUGGGCGUUAAACUUCUUUUGUGCGGGAGCAAUCAUGGUCACGUGUGGCCAGACGAGAGUACCGUACGAAUAAGCAUCGGCUAACUCCGUGCCAGCAGCCGCGGUAAUAAGGGGGACGCAAGCGUUAUCCGGGUUUAUUGGGUUUAAUGGGUGCGUAGGCUGUGAGGUAAGUCAGCGGUGAAAUGCCCCCGCUCAACGGGGUGAAGUGCCAUUGAUACUGGCUGGCUGGAAUGCGGAUGCCGUUGGAGGAAUGUGUGGUGUAGCGGUGAAAUGCAUAGAUAUCACACAGAACACCGAUUGCGAAGGCAUCUCACGAAUCCGCGAUUGACGCUGAUGCACGAAAGCGUGGGUAUCAAACAGGAUUAGAUACCCGGGUAGUC
RNAcentral lists this ribosomal RNA (460 nucleotides) under uncultured bacterium. RNAcentral describes it as "partial 16S ribosomal RNA". It matches the Rfam family "Bacterial small subunit ribosomal RNA", at positions 338 to 795 of the family's 1533-position model. The record is from RNAcentral.